UUAUAAUUAUGAAAUUUAGAAUUAUGAGAAAGAAAAUAAAGUAUAAUUUAGCACUUAAUACUUAUUCAAUUGUACAUCUGACAAUACCUCGCAUAUACGUAUAUACUCAGUUCCCAAUUUCAAAUCAAAUCAGUGAUGGUGGUUAUAUAAACAAUUUUACUAAAUUGAAUUUAAAAUCUGUGAUUAUUUCUACAUAUUAAUUCAAAAAAAAAAAAAAUAAUCUAUAAAUUGCAACGAGCCGAUAAAUCAAUACUUGAAGAAACCAAGCCAAAAAGAAAAGGGGCUACCUGAAAUUCUGAGUCUCUCCGACUGGUAGCAGGGCCCACCUGACUGAAUGGGGCUCCUUUGUUGGCAGCUAUACGUUUGGGUCAAAAGAGGCAGCAGCAGAUCGACCAAUUAGGAUGCUUCUAGAAUGUCUAGCAGGUAGUGGAAGGCAAUCGGUAUUAGGUGUAGCCGAUUGGGAGGAAUGCAGGUUCCGGAGGUGAUGAUCCAAGCGACUUGAUGUGGUAACACGUGGAGUAGCAAGUGAGGUGGAAGCAGUAACAAUAAAAAUGCAGCAAAAGUAGAAGCAGAGGAUAAGCAGAAGGUACAGGAAGGCCUAAAAAUGGGGACCACACAUGAGGUUCGACAUGGCUGUCAAUUUUAUGGCAUUUUUGUGUGGAUCGGGUGUGUUAGGACCCAUUAGGGACCAUCUUAAUGGUGUAUCAUAUCUGUGUAGUAUGUAUAUUUAUGUAUGAAUUUUAAAUAAAUUAUUUUAUGAAACUAUGGUUGAGAUUUACUUUAUCUUGGUAAAAAAAAAUUAAUAAAUCAAUUAAUAUAUCUGUUGGAGAUUAAACCUGUAACAAGGAGUAUGGGAAUAAAGUGAUGUUUUUCUUGUAUAAUUGGACAGGUUAAAGGAGAAAAACACUAAUUCCAGAAGAUCCAAACACUAUUAAGAAAACCAAACGGUGAUAUAGGAAUAAGGGGAAAAGUUGAAUUCUCAUUUUUAUAUCCUUAUCUCAGUUUAUGAAUUAGAGGAGUAUGAGAAUAAAGUGAUGUUUUUCUUGUAUAAUUCGACAGGUUAAAGGAGAAAAACACUUAUUCCGGAAGAUCCAAACACUAUUAAGAAAACCAAACGGUGAUAUAGAAAUAAGGGGAAAAGUUGAAUUCUCAUUUUUAUAUCCUUAUCUCAGUUUAUGAAUUAGAGGAGUAUGAGAAUAAAGUGAUGUUUUUCUUGUAUAAUUGGACAGGUUAAAGGAGAAAAACACUUAUUCCGGAAGAUCCAAACACUAUUAAGAAAACCAAACGGUGAUAUAGAAAUAAGGGGAAAAGUUGAAUUCUCAUUUAUAUAUCCUUAUCUCAGUUUAUGAAUUAGAGGAGUAUGAGAAUAAAGUGAUGUUUUUCUUGUAUAAUUGGACAGGUUAAAGGAGAAAAACACUAAUUCCGGAAGAUCCAAACACUAUUAAAAAAUCCAAACGGUAAUAUAGGAAUAAGCCUAAUUCUUAAUGAGCACUAUUAUAGCACACAUUAAUCUUUUACUUUUCUAAGGUUAUCAGAGAACAUUUAUCAGGAUUGAAAUUGAGUUUAUUUUUAUUAAACUAAUGGCAAACUGCAUCAUGCGGCAAUCAAUCAAAUUCAAAAUAUGCUUUAUUGUUCUAUUUGUUGUUGUGAACAAAGCUGUAUAAAACAAAAAAGUAGGUGAGAACAAACAACAAAAAAUAUAUGAAAUAUACAGACAAAUAAAACAAGAUUAAAAUGAAAUACAAUAAAGUGCUGAUAAAACUUAAAGCUAAAAAAAACAAUCAAUCUUAUACCAGCAAGAACUAAAUACAUUAAAAGGUAUCAUUAUAAUAUUCUUCAAUAUCAUAAUAGGGUCUUACAACAAGCAAUUUCCUAACUUCCCUUUUAAAUCUAUGAGCCUGAGAAAUCUGUCUUAUUCUAAUAGGCAAAUGGUUAAAAAGUUGACGACUGUUAUAGGCAACAAAGUCACGCACGAGGACCGAUCUGGGAAUGGGCAAUGGUACCCUAUGUGCCUGCCUUGUCGAGUAACAAGACAAAUCCUGAUGCAAAGAGGAAACGAACGAAACGAACGAAAAAGACGCAAAUAUCAUAAAAUUAUUAAUAAAUGUGAGACAUUAUGAGUAACCUUAGGAAGUUAUAAAUAGAAGAGGUCCUAGGUUACUGCGUUAAGCUACUCAGAUGUUACAAAUAUUGAUUGUCGCACCUUAACCUUAAUAUUUCAUAAACUGAAUUGCAUACUCCGAGAAUCCUAGUACACUUGUGAAUUUUAUGAGUCAAAGAUUUUGGCUAAGGAAUUUAAAAUACUUGUUGGUUUUUAGUUUAGAACUUCGCUUUUAUCACCUGUCUUAAAAAUAAGAGAAAUAAUAGAUAUUUUAAGAACAUUGGGAAAAAACUUCACUAUUAAUAUAUUUAUUGAAAAAAUAUGUUCGAGACUGUAGAAGAAAGUCAAUAGAGCUAGAGAAAUUUGGUAUACCAAUGUAAUGGUGUCCAUCUGAAGAAGUUAUAAAGCCGGAGAUAUUAUUCACAUUGAAAUGUAAGUAUAUGAAGGUCUCUGAAGUACUGCCUACAAUGUCUACACCCCAGGCAUGGUCAUGAUACAUUUUCGUCGAAGCUUAACGAUUUUCUAUUAAUGUAUAGCACACAUUUGCAGAGAAGUACCCAUGGUAGACAGACAACAUGUCAAACAACAACGUUAAUUUAGCAUCUAAUGUAAUAAAGUUUAGCUUGUUGGUAGCUUCGAUGCAUUUAGCGAAAGUUUUUUGGCCAAAAACCAUUCAUGAUUAUUUGUAUUGCUAUCAUGUAUCAUGAUUUAAAAUGGGAUCUAAAGCGGAGUACUGAAUAACAUUACUAGUAUCACCUGCAAAAAGGAGGUUUUAAAUAUGUUGAACAUUUGGAAGAUCAUUAAUGUGUAUGAGGACCAAGGACAGAACCUUGUGGAACAGUCAGUUGACAAACUGCUGCUGGAACCAACAUAUUAAUUGUGAACCUGAAGGUAUGACUGAAUCAGUCUCAUACUAUUAAUAUUCAGAUGGUAUAAUUUCAAUUUCUGUAUAAGGAUCCCAUGAAAGAUACAAAUGCUUUAGUGAGGUCAUAAAAAGCAGCAUAUGAAUCCAUAUAUCGUGGGUAUUCUGCAAAAAGUGACCAAGUCAAAAAUCGACUAUUUUCUGUUUUUGUGUCCAAGUGAUUAGGAAUUAUUUAAUCUUUAUCAUAAAAAAUUACCCAAAGUCAAUAUUAAAAUUGUUUGUAAAAUAUUGCCGGUUAUGACCAAGUGUAUAAAAGUACUCAUAAUGCAGUAAACAGAGACCAACUCGACUUGGUCAUUUUUACUUAGUAUAGCCCUUUCCAGUAAAACUGACUAACUUGACUUGGUCAGUUUCUGUGGUAGCAUUUCUUAUUAAAUUUUACUUAUGCAGUGACGUGGUCAGUAUUAUUAUUAGUAAACAUUCAAGUCGUAGUGAUUUGUGGUUUUAAUUACAAAGUCUAGCUUUGAAUAUCAUUAGAAUGAGUUUCAGAGGAAAACAUCUGCUGUUUUUAUGACCUACAAAUGUAAUACAUAUUAAUUCUGAAGGUAUGUAUAUAGUUUAAAAUUAGUGUUUUUGAGGUUAGAAUUUUAUUUCUUAUAGUUUUCAAAGUAUCAAUAUAAAUUAAUAAAGGUAUAUUAGCGUAUAAAUAUCUAAAUUAACUUAAACUGUGCUGUGUUAAUAAGAACAAUAAACAAUAAUAAUAAUUAUGUUAUUAAUAAAAACAUUUAGCCAACUAUCCACUAUAAUAGCACAAAAAAGGCAUUUUCUCAAAUAGAUAAUUUUAUUUAUUAUAGAAGCAUUAGUAGUUUGCUUAAUCUGCUGUUGAGAUUUUUAUUUUAUGGCUUCAUUCUUAAGUAUAAAUAAAAAUUAAAUUAUUGGAAUAGAAACAACGUCAAGUGCGAGAUUCAAAUAGUGCACCCCGGCAGAUAGAUAACUUGGAGCAGAACGAGGAAGAAGGAAAUAACGAGGCGGUGAUGCAAGAUCUGGCCUUAAAAGAUAUUGAUCUCAAACAGCUCAGUAGAUCAGCGCCCAAUAUAUGAGUUACAUAUUGUGAAACUAGAGAGACCACCGAUAGUGACAGUGAUGAUAGAGGUUCAUGAUAGGGCCAAGAAAGUUUAAAGAAACAAAACAAAAAAAACGUAGAUGAAAUAAUUGCAGGUGCAAGCACAUCUUCAGCUAGCAUUGUUGCAUAUGAGAGUAGUGAUCAGUACAUACCGAAUGAAAUCUCCUCAAGCGAUGAAGAAGUUUAAUAAGAAAAAAAGGAGGAAAUACCGAUGGGAAAGUAAAGAUCCUAUAAACUGGCAAAAAAAUAUAGCUAAAGCGCAAAGGUCUGCUGGCGAAGCAUACGCGGCUAGAAAAAAUAUUCAAAAAUCUCCAAAACUGCCAAGAGAUCAACUGUCAAAAUUGUCUUUUUAAAUGCUCCAAUAAUUUCUGUAAAAAGGAGAUAAAAAAUAAAUUGUCCCAAUUAUUAAAAAAUGACUUACAUGCAUCAAAAGCAUUUUCUUAUAAGUUGUAUUAAGGCUGCUAAACCCAGGUGCCAAAGGAUAAGAACUGGUACGGGGGCAAAGAAGUUAUCUAGUAGAAAAUAUUACCUUACAAAAGGAAAUGUAAAGUUGCAGGUAUGCCCUGCAUAUGGUCUUGUAGAAAGGUGCCAAUGAAAUGGGCAUAUUUGAAAAUCCAGAUAAAAGUGGAAUAUUGUGUAUUCCACCCAAUAAAACUUCUGAGGAGAUUAUUCAAAAGGUGAAGGCUUAUAUUGAAGGAUUUCCAACUAUGGAGUCCCACAAUUGUCGGAAAUCAAGUCACCGUAAAUACUUAGAUCCUUCUUUAUCGAUUUCAAAAAUGUACGAACUUUAUGUUCAAGAAUGCGCUGGAAGGAAUGAAAAAUUUGUAUCGGAAAUAACUUAUCGAAUUGCCACUUUUGAUUUACAGAGUGUUUUACGUAUUCCCUCUUCUGAAAUAUCUCAAAUGUAUUACAUCAUGAAACUUUGCGCCUAUAAUUUAACGAUCUACGAGUCUACAAGUUCAAAUGCGGCAUACUGCUAUGCUUGGAGUGAACCGAAUGACCAAAGAGAUAGCUGCGAAUACAAUGAAGCUUACAAUGUAAAAGAGCUACGCUACGGAGAUUUUUACGACCUUAAAGCCCUGGCAAUUGCUAUAAUAAAAAAUAAAACAAAAGAUGUUCAAGGAGAGCAAGUGCACUGGUUAAAAAUUAGUAUAAAAGUUAUGAAAUAAGAAAAAAGUCAUUCAGGACGCAUACUAUUUAAAUACAAUUAUAGUGAAGAGGACUUUCGCGUUCUACGAGUAGUUGUUCGUGGAAGGCCUACAGAAAAAUUUACACCCUUAUACAAAAACUUGCUGCCCAUCUCAGAAAAGAAGAAGACAAGUCUUAUGAAGUUGGUUGACAAUAACAAUAUUCCAAUGGAGUAUCAUAAUUGGUCUAAAUCUCUUCCUGUAGAUAAAAAAAGGAAUAAUCCAGCCCCGGAACCAACUUAUUCGGAAUCUAACUCUGAAUGUGACUUUGUAACAUGUUGACAUGUAAUGUUUUCUGAGUAUACAAUAUAAUUAUUUCGACCAAGUCAGUAAAUCUUGUUUUUUUGUAACAUCAUGUAUGACCAAGUCCAAGUUUUCCUCUUAUACAAAAAAAUCUGUGGAAUAUUAGAUAAAUAAAUUUUAAAAUUUUUA
RNAcentral lists this long non-coding RNA (5705 nucleotides) under Anthonomus grandis grandis. RNAcentral's name for it is "uncharacterized LOC126750697". The record is from RNAcentral. Lineage: Eukaryota; Metazoa; Arthropoda; Insecta; Coleoptera; Curculionidae.